Molecule: ribosomal RNA, 503 nt
Filed under: Botrytis cinerea
Lineage: Eukaryota; Fungi; Ascomycota; Leotiomycetes; Helotiales; Sclerotiniaceae
Description: eukaryotic LSU rRNA
Rfam family: 5.8S ribosomal RNA (bases 152-305)
Source: RNAcentral
AUCUACGGUAGCAGGAUGAGAAGGGUAGACCUCCCACCCUUGUGUAUUAUUACUUUGUUGCUUUGGCGAGCUGCCUUCGGGCCUUGUAUGCUCGCCAGAGAAUACCAAAACUCUUUUUAUUAAUGUCGUCUGAGUACUAUAUAAUAGUUAAAACUUUCAACAACGGAUCUCUUGGUUCUGGCAUCGAUGAAGAACGCAGCGAAAUGCGAUAAGUAAUGUGAAUUGCAGAAUUCAGUGAAUCAUCGAAUCUUUGAACGCACAUUGCGCCCCUUGGUAUUCCGGGGGGCAUGCCUGUUCGAGCGUCAUUUCAACCCUCAAGCUUAGCUUGGUAUUGAGUCUAUGUCAGUAAUGGCAGGCUCUAAAAUCAGUGGCGGCGCCGCUGGGUCCUGAACGUAGUAAUAUCUCUCGUUACAGGUUCUCGGUGUGCUUCUGCCAAAACCCAAAUUUUUCUAUGGUUGACCUCGGAUCAGGUAGGGAUACCCGCUGAACUUAAGCAUAUCAAU